RNAcentral lists this ribosomal RNA (175 nucleotides) under uncultured bacterium. RNAcentral's name for it is "partial 16S ribosomal RNA". It matches the Rfam family "Bacterial small subunit ribosomal RNA", at positions 1312 to 1500 of the family's 1533-position model. The record is from RNAcentral.
UCGCCUACAUGAAGCUGGAAUUGCUAGUAAUCACAGGUCAGCAUACUGUGGUGAAUACGUUCCCCGGGCCUUGUACACACCGCCCGUCACACCAUGAGAGUUGAGAAUACCCGAAGCCCAUGUCAAAGUGGUCGAAGGUAGGCUUGAUGAUUGGGUGAAGUCGUAACAAGGUACC